CCUACGGGAGGCAGCAGUGGGGAAUAUUGCACAAUGGGGGAAACCCUGAUGCAGCGACGCCGCGUGAGUGAAGAAGUAUUUCGGUAUGUAAAGCUCUAUCAGCAGGGAAGAAAAUGACGGUACCUGAGUAAGAAGCCCCGGCUAACUACGUGCCAGCAGCCGCGGUAAUACGUAGGGGGCAAGCGUUAUCCGGAUUUCAUGGGUGUAAAGGGAGCGUAGACGGCGAAGAAAGUCUGAAGUGAAAGCCCGCGGCUUAACCGCGGAACUGCCUUGGAAACUUUUUUGCUGGAGUACCGGAGAGGUAAGCGGAAUUCCUAGUGUAGCGGUGAAAUGCGUAGAUAUUAGGAGGAACACCAGUGGCGAAGGCGGCUUACUGGACGGUAACUGACGUUGAGGCUCGAAAGCGUGGGGAGCAAACAGGAUUAGAUACCCGAGUAGUC
Molecule: ribosomal RNA, 440 nt
Filed under: uncultured bacterium
Lineage: Bacteria
Description: partial 16S ribosomal RNA
Rfam family: Bacterial small subunit ribosomal RNA
Source: RNAcentral